AGCUUGCUGUCUUUGAAGCAGUUACCUGUGUAGGGCCAGAGGCAGCCGUAAUGCCUAGAGUAGCUCGCCCGGCCUGGCCAAGUGCAAUCUGGAGGCAGGAAAUCUGCGCCCAGACUGAGCGACCCAGAAACAGCCUCUUCUUCUUUGUUUAUUGCGUUUGAGACAGGGUCUCACUAAGCAGUCCAGAUUACCCUUGGGCUCACUGUGUAGCCCAGGCUGGCCUCGAACUCGCAGGAGGAUCACUGUGACUUCAAGGCCAGCCUGGGAUACAUAGUGAAACCCUGUCUCAGUACCUCUCCUACCCCCCAAAAAGACACAGGCUGUAGAACAGACUGACUUGUGUUCAAAUUCAGCUGCAGCCUGCAGAGUGACCUGGCUGAACCCGAGUCUUUAGUGAAGACAGGAGGAGGUCCCUGCCUGGCCCUGGCAGGGAUCCGUGAGGAAGGGACACAGACGCGGUUCAGAGUCACAGUUACAGGCCGGAGUGUGGCCUCACAGACUGCUGUGUCUGGCUGCAUCGGGGAACGGCGUCUCCCAGGAGAGCGGCCACAGCCCUCUGGGGUCACCGGCCCCUGCCCCCUCUGAGUGGACGCUGCACACUGAGGACCAAGUCCCUUUCCUUCUCCCGACCUCGCCUCACCUCCCUCUUCGCCUCCUCCCAAAAGUGCACCCAGUGAUGAGAUGUGGGUGGUGGAGCCAGAGCCUGCUCUGUGCAAAGCCCGGCCUGCCAGAUGCAGAUUAGUGUUCAGUCCCCCUUGCACGCAGGACUGAGGUCGGUGCCCAGUGGGUGGACGCUGAGCUGCGGGCCCAGGGCUCCACAGUGGGUGUGGGUCUGUCUGGGCCUCCUGUGUCGCUUGGUUUAGGGGAGCUGGGAUGCCCCUCUCUCCCACCUCCCCUGUCCACUGGCAAGUCCUGCUGGCCUUGCUUCGGGUCGGGCUCACAGCCAGCGUCUCCCUGCUCCGUGAGCUCCCACCCAAGACAGAAGGCAGCAGAGCUCACCCUUGGGUCAGCCAAGUGGCCGUAGGGCAGGUGAGCCUCCGCUGAUAGCCUGGCCCUCCCAUUGUCUGUUUUGAGCACAAAAGCCAGAAAGUCCCCCUUAAAAUGUAAGUCAGGGCUAGGCGUGGUGACGCUUACCUGUAAUCCCAGCACUCAGAAGGCUGAGGCAGGAGGAUUGCCAUGAGUUCAAGCUAGCCUGGGCUAGAUAGGGAGACCCUGUCUCAAAAAACCAAAAAUAAAAUACACUGUAAGUCAGGUCAUGGCACGCCUCUCUCCAAAACUGUUCGAUGGUGUUCCAAGACAGAGAAAGCCAGAGUCCAUAGUGGCCUCGCCACGCCCCCUCAUCCGGGAUUCACCCAGGCCGGGCCCAGACCCUGGGCACCACUCCGCUCUCUCACCAUGCCAGGUGUGUCCCCCUCAGGCCUUUGUGAUUGUGUCCCCCAUCCGUGACACCCUGGUAUCCACUGCAUCGCCGUCACCUCAACUCAGGUGCCACCCUGACUGUCCUGUGAAAACAGCGCUGCCCCGCUGGAAACUCUCUCCUUUAUCUGCUGUUCUCUCUCAAGGAUUUGUUCUCCUCUGACAUGCUACAUAUGUUUUUUUCCAUAAUCAAGGUAGAUUUCUUUUCUUUUCUUUUCUUUUCUUUUGGUUUUUUGAGACAGGGUCUCACGAUGCAGCCUGGGCUGGCCUUGAACUCACUGUGCAGCCCAGGCUGGCCUCGAACUUGUGGUGACCCUCCUGCCUCAGCCUCCAAGUGCUGGGAUCACAGGUGUGCACCACCACUCGGCAUUUUUUAUUUUUAUUUUUUGGUACCGGGGAUCGAACUUUCGAGGCAGGCGCGGUGCCACUGAGCUAAAUCCCUGGCCCUCUCGGCAUGUUUUUAAAAAGCAAAACCUUUAUUAGUACAUUUCAGAUGUACAUAAUGAUAGCACUCAUCACAGGGAAUUUGUACCUGUACAUGAUAUAUCCUGCCUCUUCUUUUUCUCCCAUUCCUCCUAAGCUCCUCUCUCCUCCCUGUGCACAAAAGCUUUGUUUCCAGUUUUCCUUCUAUUUUCACUUUUUUUCUUGUCCUUUCCUUCCUUUCUCCCUCCUGCCUCCCUUGUUCCCCUUCUCAUUUGAACAUUUUCUUCCCAUUUCCCAAUAUUUAUCAUACAUUUUAGUCCUUAUUUACACUUUUGGCUUCUCAUAUCAGAAAAAUAAUGUGGCAUUUAAACAUGUAUAGGAUUUAUUUCACUUAACAGUAUGGUCUCAAGGUCCAUUUGUUUAGCUAGAAAUGUCUCAAGCUCAACCUUCUUUAUGGCAGAGUAGUACUCCCUUGUAUAAAAAAAACCACAUCUUCUUUAACCAUUCAUCAGUUAAUGGGCACUUGGGCUGUUUCCAAGAUUUAGCUAUUACAAACUGUGCCGCUAUGAACAUGGGUGCACAUAUAUCACUGUGGUAUGAUUCUUUUAAUUCUUUGAGGAAGAUCCCCAGUAGGGGAAUAGCUGGGUCAAAUGGGACUUCCAGUCCUAGUUCUCUGAGGUGUCUCCACACUGAUUUCCACAGUGGCUGUACCAGUCUACACUCCCACCAGCAGUGGAACAGGGUUCCUCUUUCCCCACAGCCCUGCCAGCAUUUGUUAUUGGUUGAUUUCUUGAUAGCAACCAUUCUUUCUGGAGUGAGGUAGAAUCUCAGUGUUGUUUUAAUUUGCAUCUCUCAAAUGACUGGAGAGGCUGAACAUUUUUUCAUAUGUUUAUUUGCCAUUUCUACUUCAUCUGAGAAAUGUCUGUUCAUUUCAGAUGCCCAUUUUUGAAUUGGGUCUUUAUAUCUGUGGGGUCUGAGUUUUUGAGUUCUUUAUAUAUUCUAGAUUGUAGACCUUUGUCUGAGGAACAGCUGGUAAAAACUUUUUCCCACAUUGUGGGUUGUCUGUUAGCUCUGUUGUUGGUUUCUCUUACUGUGCAGAAGCUUUUUAAUAAGGAGAUCCCAGGUGAUGAUUCUUUGUGAUAGUUCCCGUGCCGCCGGGGUUUUGUGCAUAAAGUCUGCCUACAUCAACAUCUUCGAGAGUCCUCCCUAUUCUGUCUUCCCCCAGAUUUAGGGUUUCUGUCUUAAUGUUUAGAUCUUUGAUCCAUUUUGAGUUUGGGUCAGUGUGACUUGCUGCAUGUCCACUCGGUAUUACUAAUGGCAGCUCCGUGGCCAGGAGCUUGAUUCAGCUGGGUGCUCUACCCAGGCUCUCAGAUGACGCUGGCAUACAGUAGGGGCCAUUGUCAAACCCCUCUGCACUGGGUCUCCCUUUCAUAACUGCAGUCUCAAGUCAUUCAAAUCCUGGUACCAGGGUCUCCCUUUUGUAAGACGUCCACCAGGAAGAAGAGGAGAGGGCGGGAAACCCAGGGCAGAUGGCCUUCGCUUCCUGAAGACGGGGAUGAGGGCGGUGGUGGUGACAACGUGACGAUCAUGGUGGCGGCGAUGGAGAUGAUGGCCAUGAUGAUGACUGUUGUGGCUGUGUCCAGAUGUCCCCAAGGCCUGAUGCGGUCACAGGCAGGGUUUUUUCAGAGGUGGCCAAAUCCAGAGUGUGUGAUCGAUUCCUGGUGCAAUACCAGGGUUAUGGGUGCUGGGAUCAAGGGUGUGUGGUUACUAAUUCAGGCCACUGAUUGGUUUGGCCCCACCCUGAUACCAGUAGCCUGGAUACAAGGACAGGAAGAAGCUUGUCUCCUUCCUGGUUGCUUUGCUGCCUCCUCCCCACCAUGAACUGUUUCUCCUCUGCCAUGCUUCUGCCACCCUGCCUCGGAGCCAGCCGACUGUGUGCUGAAACCUCUAAAAACUGUGACCAAAAUAAACCUUUCCUCCGUAACUUUGGGUUUUGGGUAUUUUGUCUCAGGAACACAAUGAGAAAAGUAAGGCAGAAUUUGGCACCAGAGAAGUGGAGUCAUUGAUGUGACUAUAGCUGACCACAUGGUUCAGGAACCUUUGGGAACGGCUUGUGGGGAGAGUUUGGGAAGGUUUGGAGAUGCUGGCCAAAAAAGCAGAGCUGGAAUGCCUUAAGUGGUACCUAGUGGGAGAGUCUGCUCAGAGCUCAAAAGACCAGAAAGCUGAUAGAAAUCCUGCCAGUAAAGACCAAGCUCGAGAGGUUUCUGCUGGGAAGAAGGACUGCAUUGGCUGUUGGACUCCAGACAAGGUGUGUUAUGGCUGGCAGAAAGUUUGUCUGUGUUUUGCUCAUGUCCAGAGACUUUGCCUGAGACUGAGAUUAAGAGCAGUGGACUAAUUAAUCUUGCAGAAGAAAUUUCAAGACAGUCUAAUGUUGAGGCUGUGGCAUGGCUACUGUUGGGGGCUUUUAGCCAGAUUUAUGUUGAGAAUCAACAUAAGAGCACAGCAGAAUGUUUCAAAACGUUGUGAGUUUGGCCAGAAAGCAAGCUCCAGUAAAGUUGUGGCCUGCAAGAUAGAGCAGAGCAGAAAUUGAUCACUGAAAAGACUUGCAAGAAAAAGCCAAGUAUUUCAGAAGAUGACAACCCAAAAGAUGUCCUGAGGGCAUCACAAGAAUCAACAGGACUCCACCCUUUGGAGUCUCAGAGCUGCAAAAGUGAAAGAGUUUGCUUUGAGAAGAGAGCCCCAGAGCACCAUGUUCCAGAAUGGUGGUGGCCUAGGAAAGUUGUUCCUUGGGAUUUGGUUCAUAGGCACUGAACCCCCACAGCCAAGUGAGAAGGAAGCCUGGCUACUGCUCCAGCUGGCAGCAGACCUUGGCGUCAUCCACGUGGUGCUGGCUUUAGGCGCAUGCAGAAUGCAAGAGCUGUCGGGUCAGGAAGGCUUCACCCAGAUUUCAGAAGGCCUGGGAGGCCGGGUAGGGUGCCCCCGAGGGGGCAGUGUGCGAAGCGGUGAGUGUGAAGGCAAAGGUGCAGUGGAGACCCCAGAAGUGUGGAGAAGUCAGGAGCAUGAAUCAUCUGAGGAAAACUGCAAGGAGGGAGCAGAGCUGGCCCCAGAGAGAAACCAUGGGAGCCACAGCCACCAGCAGUGCCAUAGGGCGGAGCCGCCCAAGCCCUUUGGAGUUCACAGCUUGCCACAGACUGCCUCACAUGCUGGAUGUGGAACCACAGGACUUCAUAUUUGCCCUGCUGGAUUUUGGACUUGCUUUGUUCUCCUUUGUAGCCCCUAUUUGAUACCUUUUGGAAUGGUAGUACUUAUUUUGUGCCAUUGAAUGUUGGAAGUGUUUAACUUCUUUUCAUUUGCCCAGGGCUCACAGCUAAGAGUUUGCUUAAACCUCAGAGGAGACUCGGGACUGGGACUUUGCAGCAGUGCUGAGACUGUUAGGACUUGGGCAACUCUUGGAGAAGGACUGAAUGGCUUGUGUCUAAAGGGGUGUGCGUGAGUCUUUGGGGACCGAGGGAAGAAUGCUACGGCUGUGUCUAGAUGUCCUCCCAUGUGGUCACAGGCGGGCUUUCUCGGAGUGGCUGGAUCCAGAGUGUGUGACUGAUUCACGGUGCAGUGCUAGGACCAAGGGUUUUUAGGACUAAGGGUGGGUGAUAAUGAAGUCAGUCCACUGGUUGGUUUGGCACUGCCCUAACCCCGGCGGCCUGGAUAUAGUAUAAGGGACAGGGAGAGCCUCGUCUUCUCCCCUGCUUGCUUUGCUGUCUUCUCCCUACUGUGAACCAUUUCUCCUCUCCCGGGCCCCUCUGCCAAGCCACCCUGCCUUGGAGCCAGCAGACUACAGGCUGAAACCUCUACACGCUGUGCACCAAAUAGAGCUUUCCCCCUUCAACUGUGGGCACUGGGUGUUUUGUCUCAGCGACGAGAGAAAUAACUAAGACAAUAAUGAUGAUCAUGGUGAUGCUGGUGGUGGUGAUGGCAAGGCUGAAGCCACAGCGGCUUUGGCAAGCAGUUUGGAGUUUCUGCAAGGGAGCUCACUGCACCCCUCAUCCUUACACAAAAGAGGAGAACGCAAAGGCUGUACCUACCGAGAGGCCUGUGGGGGUGAUGGGGAACCCCCCUCAUCCUGGGAAAGAUGGCCUGGGAGGACAGGCUGUGG
RNAcentral lists this long non-coding RNA (5989 nucleotides) under Heterocephalus glaber (naked mole-rat). RNAcentral's name for it is "lncRNA (ENSHGLG00100041971.1)". The record is from RNAcentral. Lineage: Eukaryota; Metazoa; Chordata; Mammalia; Rodentia; Bathyergidae.